Molecule: long non-coding RNA, 846 nt
Organism: Papaver somniferum (opium poppy)
Lineage: Eukaryota; Viridiplantae; Streptophyta; Magnoliopsida; Ranunculales; Papaveraceae
Exons: 3
Source: RefSeq, a predicted model, not a curated record
CCCCGGACGAAACCCUAAGAGGCGAAGACGUCGAUUCUCAGCUCCAAUUCCUGAAUUUGAAGAUGAUAAUGACGAUGAUCGCAAGUCUAUUAAUAUGACCUAGGUAUUCAUUUCGAUGAUUUUAAAUUUUGCACGAUGAUGAAGAAGAUGAGAUCUUGAAUUCGUUGAGUUCUCUUAUUAUCCGUUGAGUGAAGCACUAAUUCUUCUCCUCCCAACAACUCCCAUGGAGAGAUUGCACCACCUUUACCACAACUACUUAAUUAACUACUAACGGUGUCAACCCAUAACAACUGUGGAAUUACAACCUGGUGAAAGGGAUGGGUGAAUUGAUCGGGGACAGGAAGGAGGUGGUUUGCUGCAGCAACACUGAGCUGCUUUCAGCUCGCCAUGGAUUUUUGACUACCAAACCUCCAACAGUUGAACUUUCACUUUAAGACCAAUUUGUGCAAAGGUUGCAUGCGCGAAGCAUACGAUGGUGUUGAUUGUUGGUGGUGAGUGUGGGAGGUGGUGGUGGCGCUGAUGGAUGUUGUUGGCGAUGAUUGAGUGGUGUGGAUGGCGGUGUUGUUGGCGGUUCUAGAGCAGUUUAACGACAAGGCUCUCAUCAGAGCAGGGUUGGAACGUGGAGAUGUGAUUUCAUUGAUAGAAGAGAGGACUCAGGCAAGAAAAGAUGGGAGCUUUGGGAAAUCUGACCAGAUCAGGAACGACUUGAAAGUUAAAGGGAGACCUACUAUGAAAAUUUAGUAUUAAAUGUACAUUGCUAUGUAGUACUUCUAAUAUAGAUUCUAAAGUCGUGCUUGGUAUAGUUUUUUUCUGUUUUUAAAAACGGAGAAAACAGGAGAAAACACG